This is a long non-coding RNA of Cyprinus carpio carpio, 2172 nucleotides long. The record is from Ensembl. Lineage: Eukaryota; Metazoa; Chordata; Actinopteri; Cypriniformes; Cyprinidae.
AAAACUGAUUAAUUACGUUUUCUGAGAAUAGGUAAAAAAUUAUUUUUGCCAGCGUUGUUGUGUGUAAAUGCUUGAAAGAGAUCUCGAUUGUUGCUCUUUGCCCCGUAUGGCUUUUUAUUCCUAUCUGAGAAUGCUCAGGACUCAUAUAGGGAUGGAAGCCAUGCAGGGAUGGGGGACUGUGUCGUCAUGGAGACUUGGUACCAACAGCCCUCUUUAUAUGCCAAUCAUGUGACACACAUACACCUGUCCUGGCAUCGGUCCGGGCACAGAUGCCCAUUGAGUCUGGCUGGCUGCAGGGAGAAUAUCUGCUCUGCCAAUCAAGUCCACAGACGGUUCUCUGAAGUCUCACACUCGCACACAAACACACUGGAUGGACAUCUGCUGCCAAGUGACGCUAAAACAGCUGUUCAUUUGCAUCAGCACCACCAGAAAACAGUAUGGUGGACAAAAACAACCGCAAAAACUCCAGGAUGGCGUCUCGUGCGUCCAGAAAGGUUAAAGAUUCCUCUGAUGAGAGAGCAAGCAAGUACUUCCAGUGAAGUUAAAACAGAAGAGUCAGAGGACAUGAGUGACCACAGUGAAGAGAUGAGGCCCAUGUUCACAGAGCACUCAUCACCAUCAAAACAAAUCAAAGAAGACGAGAAAAGAACGUGAAGAUGAGGGGGACUGGGAGGAAGUGGAAGAAAUGGCAGAACCGCUGGGUCCUGUGGACUUGACUGAACUAGCAGUUGUGUCAAAACCAGUGGAGACUGAGAUCGAGACUCCAGACAUGGCUCGAAAGAGGCAGAGGAAGGAGAAAAGAAAAGAGAAGAGUUUAAAACUUUCCUGUGUCGAAUGAUGAAACGAUUUAACAAGGAACCGCUGGUGGGGAAGAGGAGCAGAGUGAGGAAGAGUUUCAACCAACCAGUGAGGACAACAGUGAAGACUCUGACGGGGCUAUGGAAGUAUGCAGAAAGUCGAAGGUGAAAGGAAAAGGGUCGGGCUCCUCGGAGGUCGAGUGAGGUCAAACAGGAGGAGGAGGAGGUGGUGAAGAAACAAAGAUGUAAAAGAAAGGAGGGAAAAGGGGUGGAUGAGUGGUUGGAGGGGUAUUUGGAAAGUACCAGGAAGUGGGUGUGUGGGAUGUGGAUCAAGGUGUUGGCCAAAUGCAGCUCUGCUCCAAUCGGGCGACUCAAACGAUCACUUACGUGGUGGCCGUUGAUAACGAGGGGUACCUGAAAGAUCUUAGCAGCAGGUAUGACCCCACGUGGCUGACAUCAUCACGCCGAUGACGCAUCGACUCAGAAUGGUGGAAGGAGCUCUACAAGUCUCUAGAUACUGAAGGAGGACAGAAGGAGGAUCAGGAGAGACUGUGUGCACACACUCCAUUCUAGAGAUACCUGGCUGAAGGAAGCAAGAGCUGUUUGACUAGGAGAGGAGCCGUACAAGCCAGGAUGAUGUCCGAGCAGAAAGAUGUCAGAGAUCUGCCUCUCUUUGGAGUCUGGCAAACUGAAGAGUAUACCAGCCUCUGAUCGCUGUUGAUGGCAAAGUACCACGUAAUGAGCAGCCUGGGAAAAUGAGCAAGAUAACCAGAAGCAGAAAGAACAAGAGAAACGUGAGAAGUGUGUGGUGGCUAAUUGGACACUGCUGGUCAAAGGCCUGUUAAUCAAAGAGAGGCUGAAGCGUUGCUAUGGGCAACAAAGGCUGGCAUUAGGGGCGGGGCUUAAGCAAGGCAAAGAAGGCGGGGCUGAAGGAGUGUCCUCAGAUGAGGAGGAAGAGGGCGGGGCUCAGACAGCUCCACCCUCUCUGGUUAGUUCAUUGCCACACAGGCAAUAGGAACAAGAGGAAAAGAUUUUAAGGCGUGUAACUAAACGAGAAAAACAUGGAGAAACAUCUCUUCUCUUUUGAAAAGUGUGACUAAAUCGGCCCUUUAUUAUUUCACUUUCCUUAUCUUCCUUUUAAAUGUUUUUCUGCAUUUAUAAGCAUGUACUGUAUUAUCUGUAACUGUGAGCUCUACAUCACUAUACCCAACCUUUUAUAACUGCAAUAGCUACAUAUGCAGGGAAUUUCAAAAAUGUCAGCCAUUUAUGUUUAGUAAUUUUUACAGACUGUAUAUUUGUUCUUCUAUAUCCAAAUACAUAUUUUUAUAGAACAUGCUGUUGAAAAAACAUGCAAAUAAACAAAUGGUAUGUUGCA